This 217-nucleotide long non-coding RNA is filed under the name Brassica rapa (field mustard). RNAcentral's name for it is "long non-coding RNA (BRAP_LNC002569)". Lineage: Eukaryota; Viridiplantae; Streptophyta; Magnoliopsida; Brassicales; Brassicaceae. The record is from RNAcentral.
CAGCUGUUUCUCCACCCAAUAGCCAAUCACUACCACAGUCAAGCUAAAUGACUAUAACCAAGCGCUGAGUGGGAGGCAACCCUCUAUUAGAUAUUUUAUUUUGGUUUUAUUAGCUAGCAUUUAUUUACUUUCAUUUUAUUUCUUUCAGAUUUAGGAGACCCAAGUAGAAGGACCUGAAUAUCGACCGCCGACGAGACGUCGACAUCGCUCGACAUAG